This is a long non-coding RNA of Oncorhynchus keta (chum salmon), 851 nucleotides long. RefSeq lists it as uncharacterized. The transcript is spliced from 3 exons. Lineage: Eukaryota; Metazoa; Chordata; Actinopteri; Salmoniformes; Salmonidae. The record is from RefSeq and is a predicted model, not a curated record.
GUGACAGGUUUAGGUUACUGUCAUUCAUAUUCCAUUCACCCAGCUCAAUGUAACAGUGAUAGGUUUAGGUUACUGUCAUUCAUAUUCACCCAGUUCAAUGUAACAGUGACAGGUUUAGGUUACUGUCAUUCAUAUUCCAUUCACCCAGCUCAAUGUAACAGUGACAGGUUUAGGUUACUGUCAUUCAUAUUCCAUUCACCCAGCUCAAUGUAACAGUGAUAGGUUUAGGUUACUGUCAUUCAUAUUCCAUUCACCCAGCUCAAUGUAACAGUGAUAGGUUUAGGUUACUGUCAUUCAUAUUCCAUUCACCCAGCUCAAUGUAACAGUGACAGGUUUAGGUUACUGUCAUUCAUAUUCCAUUCACCCAGCUCAAUGUAACAGUGAUAGGUUUAGGUUACUGUCAUUCAUAUUCACCCAGUUCAAUGUAACAGUGACAGGUUUAGGUUACUGUCAUUCAUAUUCCAUUCACCCAGUUCAAUGUAACAGUGACAGGUUUAGGUUACUGUCAUUCAUAUUCCAUUCACCCAGCUCAAUGUAACAGUGACAGGUUUAGGUUACUGUCAUUCACCCAGUUCAAUGUAACAGUGACAGGUUUAGGUUACUGUCAUUCAUAUUCCAUUCACCCAGCUCAAUGUAACAGUGACAGGUUUAGGUUACUGUCAUUCAUAUUCCAUUCACCCAGCUCAAUGUAACAGUGACAGGUUUAGGUUACUGUCAUUCAUAUUCACCCAGCUCAAUGUAACAGUGAUAGGUUUACACAAUGUUAUAAUUUCCCCCUAUACCCAUCAUGAGGUUGCUACAACCUAGCGUACGAAUGAAAAGUUUAUUACGAAGGAGCACACAGGUCGAGA